CAUGGCGGCCGCGGGAAUUCGAUUGGAAACAGGUGCUAAUACCGAAUAAAACUUAGUAUCGCAUGAUAUCAAGUUAAAAGGCGCUACGGCGUCACCUAGAGAUGGAUCCGCGGUGCAUUAGUUAGUUGGUGGGGUAAAGGCUUACCAAGACGAUGAUGCAUAGCCGAGUUGAGAGACUGAUCGGCCACAUUGGGACUGAGACACGGCCCAAACUCCUACGGGAGGCUGCAGUAGGGAAUCUUCCACAAUGGGCGCAAGCCUGAUGGAGCAACGCCGCGUGUGUGAUGAAGGCUUUCGGGUCGUAAAGCACUGUUGUAUGGGAAGAAAUGCUAAAAUAGGGAAUGAUUUUAGUUUGACGGUACCAUACCAGAAAGGGACGGCUAAAUACGUGCCAGCAGCCGCGGUAAUACGAUAAUCACUAGUGAAUUCGCGGCCGCCUGCAGGUCGACCAUAUG
Molecule: ribosomal RNA, 455 nt
Filed under: Leuconostoc citreum
Lineage: Bacteria; Bacillati; Bacillota; Bacilli; Lactobacillales; Lactobacillaceae
Description: bacterial SSU rRNA
Rfam family: Bacterial small subunit ribosomal RNA
Source: RNAcentral